ACGAACGCUGGCGGCGUGCCUAAUACAUGCAAGUAGAACGCUGAAGGAGGAGCUUGCUUCUCCGGAUGAGUUGCGAACGGGUGAGUAACGCGUAGGUAACCUGCCUGGUAGCGGGGGAUAACUAUUGGAAACGAUAGCUAAUACCGCAUAACAGUAGAUAUUGCAUGAUAUCUGCUUGAAAGGUGCAAUUGCAUCACUACCAGAUGGACCUGCGUUGUAUUAGCUAGUUGGUGAGGUAACGGCUCACCAAGGCGACGAUACAUAGCCGACCUGAGAGGGUGAUCGGCCACACUGGGACUGAGACACGGCCCAGACUCCUACGGGAGGCAGCAGUAGGGAAUCUUCGGCAAUGGACGGAAGUCUGACCGAGCAACGCCGCGUGAGUGAAGAAGGUUUUCGGAUCGUAAAGCUCUGUUGUAAGAGAAGAACGAGUGUGAGAGUGGAAAGUUCACACUGUGACGGUAUCUGACCAGAAAGGGACGGCUAACUACGUG
This 494-nucleotide ribosomal RNA is filed under the name uncultured bacterium. RNAcentral's name for it is "partial 16S ribosomal RNA". It matches the Rfam family "Bacterial small subunit ribosomal RNA", at positions 29 to 507 of the family's 1533-position model. The record is from RNAcentral.